Esox lucius (northern pike) is the source of this 1620-nucleotide long non-coding RNA. The record is from Ensembl. Lineage: Eukaryota; Metazoa; Chordata; Actinopteri; Esociformes; Esocidae.
CCCGGAAGUGAUUGUGGGGGUUUGUGGACAAUACGGUGAAGUCAUUUUGUAAACAUAGUUGCUCGCUCUUAGUUGCUCUCUUAAAGAUCGAAGUUUCUGUGAUUUGAACGGGUAUUUUAUUUAUUUUAAACAGAAUCAGAUCGCGUUAUAUAAUUUUUUUCUGGACUUUUGAAAGGUUGUAAACUCAUGCAUUUCACCAAAGUUGUUGACUGGUUACUGUAUAGCUAGCCAUCAUAUCACCUGAGCAAGAAGCUGUCUCCACAACAGUACAGUAGGGCAAAACGUUUCAUUCUCUGUACCCAGCAUUUAAAAAAUUAUGAAUUCUUUCCAUAGAAGAGGAAUGUUUUCUUUUUUCCAAAAUCAAGAAGACGCUCAAGCAGUUGAAAAUGCUGUCCGAACAGCGAUACAUACCGUUGUGAAUGUUAUUUCUAGGAUCAACAGUGCCAAAAUACAAGAAUAUCAAAGGAAGUUUGCUGAGAAGGACAGAGAAAACGAAACGCUAAAACGUAGAGUUAAAAAAGCAGAACGAGAAAUAUCAGCACUGCGAGGCUCCUUAGAACUUUCUGGAAAUGAAUGUCAUCAAGUCAGAUCGAACAAUUAUGCUCCUUCGCCAGAAAUGUCAAGUGGGGAACCAACUUGCCAUAAAAAUGAAGUGGCGUGUGAAGCUGAGUGGAGAAUAGAUUUCCCCAGUAUUGAUGCACCUCCACACAGUUCAUCCCACUGCCAAAACACAGCCCCUCCCACUGGUGCAGCUCUUGAUAUGGCCCAUCACCAGAGCGCUCCCUUCCAUUCUGAGUCUGGUUUUUCAGCAGUGAGAUCCAAAGGCCAGUCUCCAUCACCCUGUCAAGUCAUCAGCCCAAUAAUAAAAGAGGAGCCCGAUGAUAUGGAGACUUUCUACAUCAAAUGGGAAAUGAGUGAAGAGAACAUCAUGGAGCAACAGGAAGGCCUCGGCUCAAUGCACAUCCUGGGAAAAGACAGAGAAGCCCAUCAGGGCGGUGGAGCUCCAACAGACGGAACUCAAUUUGUUGCUGUUAACCCAAGCAGACAUGAGUAUGGGGAGAGACUAACCAGGCAUCUGAAAAGGAGGCUGUCGAGUGCAGAGACUCAGCGGAGGUUCAGAGAGAGAUUGCGUGCUGACCCUGAGAAGUACCUGGCCUACAAGGAGAAGGAACGACGCAGGAAUCAGCAGAGAAAGGUGUCGAUAUCAGAUCUACCUGAAGAGACCCGCAGACUAAAGAGGGAGGCCUGGAGAGAAGCAUCCAGACGCUGUCGUGCCCGUAAAAUGUCCUCCCUCCAGAUGAACCCCGCCCAGCCCUGCCACCUCCCCCCCGAAGUAACUGGGGGAACUCUGGGAUGCCGUAGGGGCAGGCAGUAGGGUGGCCAUAGAUCAUAUCUGUUAUUUCCUUUGUUGGUUAAAUGGAUAACUUUGGUAUUAAAUUGGAAUGAACCAAUUACUCAGUGAAUUGGUUGAGGUGAACUGUAAUGGAACUGUCAGUAAAAAUAUUUCAGGGGAAACCCAAUGUGCUUUGUCUUUGUUACAUUGAAACACAUUUUGGUCUUCAUUUUGACAAUUAAUUUCAAACUGCAAUUUUUUCCAUUCACCUGUUAUUGGGUUUGCAG